AUGAGCGCCAGCGCCAGCCGCCCCGAGCUCCGCAUCCGCCACCUCCUCACAGGCGAGCGAGCCCGCCUACCCGAUCCUCCGAAAUGCGUUGGAGGUAUUCUCUUUUCCAAUGACCUAAUCCUUGCCUUCACGCCAUGGCACCGCGACACCUACUACUGCCGCAUUGGGGUUGCUCAGUGGCAAGCGGCGCGGUGCGAUGAGGGCUACAACAUUCACAGUCUGAUGUUCGUGAAAGGCACCCUCUAUGCGUUGAUUUAUCCAAAUUAUCGUCUUGCUGUUGUCGAGCUUGACAACAAUUCCGUGGUAUUGUCGUUUCUUGGGGAAGAACUUAGCGCACGUACAGUACCAGAUGGUAAUUUGGCGGCCUGGCUCGCAGAGUGUCAUGGUGAGCUAUUGCUAAUUAUCAGAAGAAGGCUGUACCGUGUGUUCCAGUGGCAAUCCAAGGAGAGGAAGUGGGCGAGGACACAUAGCCUUGGUGGUUGUAGCUUGUUCUUUAAUAUGCAUGAGUUUGCUGGUUGCCUUGGUCCAGAUCAUCCGAGAGUUCGAAGAGACUGCUUGUACUUCACUGGAAGCUUUGGGAACUGGAGCAAGUAUUCUUUGGUUGAUAGAUCUUUGCAUGAAAUUGUUGCCAACUACCUAGGGCAAUCAGUAUCGAAGGAUUUUGUAUCACUGGCUUGGGUCCUUCCAAGCAUU
Molecule: ribosomal RNA, 693 nt
Filed under: Triticum aestivum (bread wheat)
Lineage: Eukaryota; Viridiplantae; Streptophyta; Magnoliopsida; Poales; Poaceae
Description: partial small subunit ribosomal RNA
Source: RNAcentral